UGAGGGGGGCUGCUCCUAGUACGAGAGGACCGGAGUGGACGCAUCACUGGUGUUCGGGUUGUCAUGCCAAUGGCACUGCCCGGUAGCUAAAUGCGGAAAAGAUAAGUGCUGAAAGCAUCUAAGCACGAAACUUGCCCCGAGAUGAGUUCUCCCUGACUCCUUGAGAGUCCUGAAGGAACGUUGAAGACGACGACGUUGAUAGGCCGGGUGUGUAAGCGCAGCGAUGCGUUGAGCUAACCGGUACUAAUGAACCGUGAGGCUUAACCUUACAACGCCGAAGCUGUU
Molecule: ribosomal RNA, 285 nt
Filed under: Escherichia coli
Lineage: Bacteria; Pseudomonadati; Pseudomonadota; Gammaproteobacteria; Enterobacterales; Enterobacteriaceae
Description: partial 23S ribosomal RNA
Rfam family: Bacterial large subunit ribosomal RNA
Source: RNAcentral